RNAcentral lists this ribosomal RNA (301 nucleotides) under uncultured bacterium. Its description in RNAcentral is "partial 16S ribosomal RNA". It matches the Rfam family "Bacterial small subunit ribosomal RNA", at positions 509 to 807 of the family's 1533-position model. The record is from RNAcentral.
CAGUCGCCGCGGUAAUACGGAGGGUCCGAGCGUUGUCCGGAAUUAUUGGGCGUAAAGGGCUCGUAGGCGGUUUGUCGCGUCGGGAGUGAAAUCCAGCAGCUUAACUGCUGGCCUGCUUUCGAUACGGGCAGACUUGAGGCAUUCAGGGGAGAACGGAAUUCCUGGUGUAGCGGUGAAAUGCGCAGAUAUCAGGAGGAACACCGGUGGCGAAGGCGGUUCUCUGGGAAUGUUCUGACGCUGAGGAGCGAAAGUGUGGGGAGCGAACAGGAUUAGAUACCCCCGUAGUCCCUGUCUCUUAUAC